This 466-nucleotide ribosomal RNA is filed under the name uncultured bacterium. RNAcentral describes it as "bacterial SSU rRNA". It matches the Rfam family "Bacterial small subunit ribosomal RNA", at positions 329 to 792 of the family's 1533-position model. The record is from RNAcentral.
UGCCAGACUCCUACGGGAGGCAGCAGUGAGGAAUAUUGGUCAAUGGGCGGGAGCCUGAACCAGCCAAGUCGCGUGAGGGAAGACGGUCCUACGGAUUGUAAACCUCUUUUGCCGGGGAGCAACGGGGUCCUUGCGAGGGCCCGAUGAGAGUACCCGGAGAAAAAGCAUCGGCUAACUCCGUGCCAGCAGCCGCGGUAAUACGGAGGAUGCGAGCGUUAUCCGGAUUUAUUGGGUUUAAAGGGUGCGUAGGCGGGCUGUUAAGUCAGCGGUCAAAUGGCGGGGCUCAACCCCGGCCUGCCGUUGAAACUGGUUUUCUUGAGUGAGCGAGAAGUAUGCGGAAUGCGUGGUGUAGCGGUGAAAUGCAUAGAUAUCACGCAGAACUCCGAUUGCGAAGGCAGCAUACCGGCGCUCAACUGACGCUCAUGCACGAAAGUGUGGGUAUCGAACAGGAUUAGAUACCCCCGUU